Molecule: ribosomal RNA, 255 nt
Filed under: Faecalibacterium prausnitzii
Lineage: Bacteria; Bacillati; Bacillota; Clostridia; Eubacteriales; Oscillospiraceae
Description: partial 16S ribosomal RNA
Rfam family: Bacterial small subunit ribosomal RNA
Source: RNAcentral
GGAACCUGCCUCAAAGAGGGGGACAACAGUUGGAAACGACUGCUAAUACCGCAUAAGCCCACGACCCGGCAUCGGGUAGAGGGAAAAGGAGCAAUCCGCUUUGAGAUGGCCUCGCGUCCGAUUAGCUGGUUGGUGAGGUAACGGCCCACCAAGGCGACGAUCGGUAGCCGGACUGAGAGGUUGAACGGCCACAUUGGGACUGAGACACGGCCCAGACUCCUACGGGAGGCAGCAGUGGGGAAUAUUGCACAAUGG